This 396-nucleotide ribosomal RNA is filed under the name Triticum aestivum (bread wheat). RNAcentral describes it as "partial small subunit ribosomal RNA". The record is from RNAcentral. Lineage: Eukaryota; Viridiplantae; Streptophyta; Magnoliopsida; Poales; Poaceae.
GGGCACUGGGCCUCCAAGUGUCAUAAGCGCUUCCAGCGAAGCUUCCUUGGUCUUGGCAAUGACGGCAAAGAUACACGCAACAAUGCCCGUCAGGUCGCCAUGGCUGAUCGUCCCUCGCCGCAGAAGCAACAGGGACACACUCAGUCCUACUCCAUCGAUCCACACUGGUACAUGGACUCUGGGGCGACAGAGCAUCUGACCAGCGAGAUGGGGAAGCUUCACACUCGUGAACCCUAUCAUGGCUCCGACAAGAUCCACACCGCCAAUGGAGCAGGUAUGCACAUCUCUCAUAUUGGUCAAGCAUCUCUUCUCACUAGACAUGCCAAUAGGAGUCUUCAGCUUCGCAAUGUUCUUCGAGUUCCAUCUGUGACCCGUAAUCUUCUUUCAGUUCCUAAA